Molecule: ribosomal RNA, 406 nt
Filed under: uncultured bacterium
Lineage: Bacteria
Description: partial 16S ribosomal RNA
Rfam family: Bacterial small subunit ribosomal RNA
Source: RNAcentral
AUUGAACGCUGGCGGCAGGCCUAACACAUGCAAGUCGAGCGAGCGGCGGACGGGUGAGUAAUGUCAGGGAAACUGCCUGAUGGAGGUGGAUAACGACUGGAAACGGUAGCUAAUAACGCAUCCAAACAGAUGUGCCCAGAUGGGAUUAGCUAGUAGGUGGGGUAACGGCUCACCUAGGCGACGAUCCCUAGCUGGUCUGAGAGGAUGACCAGGCACACUGGAACUGAGACACGGUCCAGACUCCUACGGGAGGCAGCAGUGGGGAAUAUUGCACAAUGGGCGCAAGCCUGAUGCAGCCAUGCCGCGUGUGUGAAGAAGGCCUUCGGAUUGUAAAGCACUUUCAGCGGGGAGGCGUUACCCGCAGAAGAAGCACCGGCUAACUCCGUGCCAGCAGCCGCGGUAAUAC